CCCAAGUCUAAUGUUAUUUAAUCAAUGAUUUUAAAUACUUUACUCAAAUCAAGUGUUAUUGUUUCUUAUAUUUGCAAAAUCUUCAUUAAAAGAGUUUAAAAUCUAGUGUUAUUGGUUCUUAUAUUUGCAAAAUCUUCAUUAAAAAAGUUUAAUAUCUAGUGUUAUUGGGUCUUAUACUUACAAUUAUUAACUAAAGUCUCAUGUUAUUCAAGUUUGGUGGAUUUUCACAAAUGAUUUCAUUUGAAAAGCUUUGAGUGAAUCUGAAACUGAUUUCAUGUGUAAAUUAUGUCAAUCCGAAAACCAACCUUCUAACAUGAGAUCUGACAAUCUAAUAAAUUAAUAAAAGUUUCAUUGAACGUAAUACACGUACGUUAUCAAUAUUUGCAAACUCAUUCACCCAUGACCCAACACAUACGUAUCUCUCUUUAUCAUUUUUUCCCAGUCUUUUUUUUUAUCUCUAGUUAAUGUGUAUAUUUGUUUUAACAGUUGUUGUAUGAUUCAUUUGAUCACUUUAACAAAAAAAAAAAAGAAAACAAUUUUCAUUUUUAAAAGAUAUGUUAAGACUUCAAUACAAAAAUUUGAAAUGGGAAAAAAAUAAGUGAUGGUAAAAGUUUGGUAUAAUUUCAUUGAAAAUUGUAAAAUCAUUUGUUAUAGAAUUCAAUUCUAUUGUUCAAAAUCAAAAGAUAUCAUAUGUCAGUGUAAAUACACUACCACUGAUUUAAAGAAUGAAUAAUAAAUCA
RNAcentral lists this long non-coding RNA (740 nucleotides) under Capsella grandiflora. RNAcentral describes it as "long non-coding RNA (CGRA_LNC000569)". The record is from RNAcentral. Lineage: Eukaryota; Viridiplantae; Streptophyta; Magnoliopsida; Brassicales; Brassicaceae.